AGAAAAGUCAAUAGAAAUUAUAAAUAAAAAAAUUAUAUAUAUAUAUAUGAGUCUAUGAAUAUAUAUAUAUAAAUUCUCUUCGAGGAAUCUGUGUAGCCAUCGCGUGUGUAGUUUUUAUGUUUACACUGUAAGCAGUUUUUUGUAUAGUUGAAAGGGCGAAGCAACCAAAAAUGAGAUGAAACCUUUAUUAUAUAUACAUAUACAUAUAUAUAUACAAAAAAGAUAUAUAUGUAUGUUUUAUUUAUUGUUUCUCUUCGUGUAAAUACAAUCUGUAGUUCGAUUUCUAAGUAGCGAAAAAGUGAAUGAAAGAAACCAAAAUUGAAUGUUUAUGAUUUAAUACGAAUGCAUAUUGAAUGGCAACUAAAUACAAUUUGAAUAAGUUCAACCUGUACAAUAAUUUAAUAUUAAAUAAAAUGCAAAAAUAUAAAACUAAAAAAAAAAAGAAAAUCAAUAAAAAAAUUCAAAAAACAAAAUUCAAAUAGAACUCGACAAAAUCGUUUCAAUUACCCUUGGACUUGCACUUGAAGCUAUCUAUAGAUGCAGAAAAUGGUAAUGAAUAUAUAUAUAAAUACAUAUCUGUAUAUAGGCAGAUACAUGCAUGCGAGGUCUGCUCAACAAGUAUCAUUAAUAAUUAUUUGUUUAGUAUUAUCAGACGUCCAGCAUGAAACAGCUCUGAGAACUGAGCAUUUGCUGAGUGAUUGGCGUAAUAGAGAUUCAAGAGUCCAUUCGGAUAUCGAUAGUCGUAUAUGUCAUCUCAAGAGUUUGCCAAACUCCUUAAGCACAUCUCGCACUUGUAUCUAUUUGAGUAGCUGGCGCAUGACACACUUUGGAAUUCGAGGCUGUCGCUAAAGUGACGAAUGUCUCGCUCGCUAAAAAUUCGCAUAAAUAACAAUUGAGCCAACUAAUAUUCUUUAAUUUUGUUUUAUGACAAUAAACGAAAUAGUUGACACCACGGGCUAAUUAACUCGGGCAAUAUCAAUUGAUCUGCCUCCAUUUGAAUGUCAGAUUGAGCUACAUUUCGCAAACGUCGCUCACAAUUUGUAGUUUUGGCUAAUUACGCAAAUGACACAACUCUUUGGCGAGGCAUGCAACUGUUUUUUUUUUUUUAUUAUUAUUAUUAUUAAACAAUCUUUUUUCUUUUAAUGAAUUUAUUGCUGUUGCCUUUGGGCUGUCGUCAUCGACGGAUCUGUUCAUUCAGCAGGGCUGCAGUUGAUGCCGCUGCCUGCCAAUGAUCCAUCAGUCUAUCAGAGUCGUUGGAUCUGCGCACGACUCUGGCCAGCUGCAAAAGGCAAAAGGUUUCCACGAUGACCGUCAAAAACCCAUAACGGCAAAACAAUUGCCACGUAAUUUAGCUAAAGCCAACAGCAGCAGCUAAAGCAUCGCAGCUAUGGAAAAUGACACAAUCCGGAAAGCUAUAAAGCGUUAUCAUCUAAAACGUAGCUAGCAUUAAACAUCAAAAUACAAUUCAAAAGUUAGGUUGGCUGAAACUUAAGGAACAUGUCACAUUUCCCAUAGCUCAUACAUUUACGAUUUCGUAAUUACACGUUGAUCUAUCGGCAUCUGCGAGAGUUAAAGUUCAAUAAACGCUAUAAAAAUCUCAUUUGAA
Long non-coding RNA from Drosophila mojavensis, 1606 nucleotides. RefSeq lists it as uncharacterized. The record is from RefSeq and is a predicted model, not a curated record. Lineage: Eukaryota; Metazoa; Arthropoda; Insecta; Diptera; Drosophilidae. The transcript is spliced from 3 exons.